RNAcentral lists this ribosomal RNA (293 nucleotides) under uncultured microorganism. RNAcentral's name for it is "partial 16S ribosomal RNA". It matches the Rfam family "Bacterial small subunit ribosomal RNA", at positions 505 to 796 of the family's 1533-position model. The record is from RNAcentral.
GUGCCAGCAGCCGCGGUAAUACGGAGGGUGCAAAGCGUUAAUCGGAAUUACUGGGCGUAAAGCGCACGCAGGCGGUUUGUUAAGUCAGAUGUGAAAUCCCCGCGCUUAACGUGGGAACUGCAUUUGAAACUGGCAAGCUAGAGUCUUGUAGAGGGGGGUAGAAUUCCAGGUGUAGCGGUGAAAUGCGUAGAGAUCUGGAGGAAUACCGGUGGCGAAGGCGGCCCCCUGGACAAAGACUGACGCUCAGGUGCGAAAGCGUGGGGAGCAAACAGGAUUAGAUACCCUGGUAGUCC